This 612-nucleotide ribosomal RNA is filed under the name Geobacillus thermodenitrificans. RNAcentral's name for it is "bacterial SSU rRNA". It matches the Rfam family "Bacterial small subunit ribosomal RNA", at positions 67 to 662 of the family's 1533-position model. The record is from RNAcentral. Lineage: Bacteria; Bacillati; Bacillota; Bacilli; Caryophanales; Anoxybacillaceae.
ACCGAACGAGAGCUUGCUCUUGUUCGGUCAGCGGCGGACGGGUGAGUAACACGUGGGCAACCUGCCCGCAAGACCGGGAUAACUCCGGGAAACCGGAGCUAAUACCGGAUAACACCAAAGACCGCAUGGUCUUUGGUUGAAAGGCGGCUUCGGCUGUCACUUGCGGAUGGGCCCGCGGCGCAUUAGCUAGUUGGUGAGGUAACGGCUCACCAAGGCGACGAUGCGUAGCCGGCCUGAGAGGGUGACCGGCCACACUGGGACUGAGACACGGCCCAGACUCCUACGGGAGGCAGCAGUAGGGAAUCUUCCGCAAUGGACGAAAGUCUGACGGAGCGACGCCGCGUGAGCGAAGAAGGCCUUCGGGUCGUAAAGCUCUGUUGUGAGGGACGAAGGAGCGCCGUUUGAAUAAGGCGGCGCGGUGACGGUACCUCACGAGAAAGCCCCGGCUAACUACGUGCCAGCAGCCGCGGUAAUACGUAGGGGGCGAGCGUUGUCCGGAAUUAUUGGGCGUAAAGCGCGCGCAGGCGGUCCUUUAAGUCUGAUGUGAAAGCCCACGGCUCAACCGUGGAGGGUCAUUGGAAACUGGGGGACUUGAGUGCAGGAGAGGAGAGC